This is a long non-coding RNA of Triticum dicoccoides, 874 nucleotides long. RefSeq lists it as uncharacterized. NCBI's taxonomy places the organism in Eukaryota, Viridiplantae, Streptophyta, Magnoliopsida, Poales, Poaceae. The transcript has 3 exons. The record is from RefSeq and is a predicted model, not a curated record.
ACAAAGCACGUCAAGAGGUUCAAAACAAAGAAACUGAAACUGAAGGUCCACUUUCAAGUGAGCAGAAAAACAAUAUUUUCCAGACCGCAUACAAAGAGACUCUGAAAUGCAAGUCAUCGCAGCCUUGUGGGUACGGAUACAUGGCCAAACCUUCAACUGGUUCUCAAAGGUUUCGUAUCCAGGUUGAAGAGCAAGCUCGUGCUACAGCAGCCACCCAACAGCAAAACUCUGAGCUCAGCCAGCAGGUCAACGAAUUACAAGAUCAACUACAAGCUGAACGUGCAAACACACAAGAGAGGAUUAACUUGGAGUGUACUGAGAGAGAACAACUUGAGGAGAGGUUAAAAGAAGGGCAUGCUGAAAGGGAAAGAUUGUUGGAAUAGGAGCGGACAUCAAGACCGGAAUUUGAAAAAAACAUGAUGCCAAAGUUUGUAGCAUUGAGCCAACAGAUGGGAACCCAACAGGUGCCUAAGGAUUGACAAAGAAAAUAGUAACCCAAACUUGCAAAAUACAGUUUUAUAGAGACCUAGUCCUAAUAAGACUCCAGUUCAAGGCCAAUUAUUAUUUCUUCAAAUGCGCUCAUACAAGCUGCAACAAGGAAUUCUCGAAUGUUUAAAGCAAUGGAUCCAAAGAACUAGCUGGCCUGGACUCUAGAUCACGGACCGUUUAGUCUUUGCAAUUAAUUAGGAUGGCUAAAUUAUAUCUGAGUUUCAUUUUAUGGAUAUUUGCUACGAGAAUUAUGAACUUUAUGAAUCUACAUAUUAUACGUAUGGUUUUGAAAUUGUAAUUGAAUGCAUGUAUUUUUUUUACGGUUGCAAUAUGCUACAACCCACUUUCGGUUGCCACAAGCACCACCAAAAAAAGUGUUGCGUCA